This 467-nucleotide ribosomal RNA is filed under the name uncultured bacterium. Its description in RNAcentral is "partial 16S ribosomal RNA". It matches the Rfam family "Bacterial small subunit ribosomal RNA", at positions 28 to 506 of the family's 1533-position model. The record is from RNAcentral.
GACGAACGCUGGCGGCGUGCUUAACACAUGCAAGUCGAACGGAAAGGCCCUGCUUUUGUGGGGUGCUCGAGUGGCGAACGGGUGAGUAACACGUGAGUAACCUGCCCUUGACUUUGGGAUAACUUCAGGAAACUGGGGCUAAUACCGGAUAGGAGCUCCUGCUGCAUGGUGGGGGUUGGAAAGUUUCGGCGGUUGGGGAUGGACUCGCGGCUUAUCAGCUUGUUGGUGGGGUAGUGGCUUACCAAGGCUUUGACGGGUAGCCGGCCUGAGAGGGUGACCGGCCACAUGGGGAAGGGGAAACGGCCCAGACUCCUACGGGGGGCAGGAGGGGGGAAUAUUGCAAAAGGGGCGGAAGCCUGAUGCAGCAACCCCGGGUGCGGGAGGACGGCCUUCGGGUGGUAAACCGCUUUCGCUUGUGACGAAGCGUGGGUGACGGUAAUGGGUAAAGAAGCACCGGCUAACUACGU